Molecule: ribosomal RNA, 500 nt
Filed under: uncultured bacterium
Lineage: Bacteria
Description: partial 16S ribosomal RNA
Rfam family: Bacterial small subunit ribosomal RNA
Source: RNAcentral
AUUGAACGCUGGCGGCAUGCCUUACACAUGCAAGUCGAACGGCAGCACGGGAGCAAUCCUGGUGGCGGGUGGCGAACGGGUGAGUAAAGUAUCGGAACGUGCCCAGUCGUGGGGGAUAACGUAGCGAAAGUUACGCUAAUACCGCAUACGAUCUAUGGAUGAAAGCGGGGGAUCGCAAGACCUCGCGCGAUUGGAGCGGCCGAUAUCAGAUUAGGUAGUUGGUGGGGUAAAGGCUCACCAAGCCGACGAUCUGUAGCUGGUCUGAGAGGACGACCAGCCCCACUGGGACUGAGGCACGGCCCAGACUCCUACGGGAGGCAGCAGUGGGGAAUUUUGGACAAUGGGCGAAAGCCUGAUCCAGCCAUGCCGCGUGCAGGAUGAAGGCCUUCGGGUUGUAAACUGCUUUUGUACGGAACGAAAAGGUUUGGCCUAAUAAGCUGAGCUCAUGACGGUACCGUAAGAAUAAGCACCGGCUAACUACGUGCCAGCAGCCGCGGUAA